This 698-nucleotide ribosomal RNA is filed under the name Salmonella enterica. Its description in RNAcentral is "bacterial SSU rRNA". It matches the Rfam family "Bacterial small subunit ribosomal RNA", at positions 1 to 688 of the family's 1533-position model. Lineage: Bacteria; Pseudomonadati; Pseudomonadota; Gammaproteobacteria; Enterobacterales; Enterobacteriaceae. The record is from RNAcentral.
AAAUUGAAGAGUUUGAUCAUGGCUCAGAUUGAACGCUGGCGGCAGGCCUAACACAUGCAAGUCGAACGGUAACAGGAAGCAGCUUGCUGCUUCGCUGACGAGUGGCGGACGGGUGAGUAAUGUCUGGGAAACUGCCUGAUGGAGGGGGAUAACUACUGGAAACGGUGGCUAAUACCGCAUAACGUCGCAAGACCAAAGAGGGGGACCUUCGGGCCUCUUGCCAUCAGAUGUGCCCAGAUGGGAUUAGCUUGUUGGUGAGGUAACGGCUCACCAAGGCGACGAUCCCUAGCUGGUCUGAGAGGAUGACCAGCCACACUGGAACUGAGACACGGUCCAGACUCCUACGGGAGGCAGCAGUGGGGAAUAUUGCACAAUGGGCGCAAGCCUGAUGCAGCCAUGCCGCGUGUAUGAAGAAGGCCUUCGGGUUGUAAAGUACUUUCAGCGGGGAGGAAGGUGUUGCGGUUAAUAACCGCAGCAAUUGACGUUACCCGCAGAAGAAGCACCGGCUAACUCCGUGCCAGCAGCCGCGGUAAUACGGAGGGUGCAAGCGUUAAUCGGAAUUACUGGGCGUAAAGCGCACGCAGGCGGUCUGUCAAGUCGGAUGUGAAAUCCCCGGGCUCAACCUGGGAACUGCAUUCGAAACUGGCAGGCUUGAGUCUUGUAGAGGGGGGUAGAAUUCCAGGUGUAGCGGUGAAAUG